GAAAAAGUAAUGAUAAGGACAUGAGAUGAUUUUUACGGUUUACAGAGAGGGAGGCCAUAGGCUGUGAGCUUCCUAACACGGGAAAUCAUUUUACCACCUUUGAACUUCAAUAGUGAAAGAGUAAUCUAGUAAUUAUUGACGGACUCAGCCGUUAUCUGAUCUUGAGCAAUCCAAAGGAAAUGUUAAGUUGUUGGAUUGAAACAAGGGUGGAACCACGAAAAACACAUUCGUCCCUUUA
This 238-nucleotide non-coding RNA is filed under the name Bacillus gaemokensis. Its description in RNAcentral is "T-box sequence". It matches the Rfam family "T-box leader". Rfam says of the family: Uncharged tRNA acts as the effector for transcription antitermination of genes in the T-box leader family. T-boxes are found upstream of many aminoacyl-tRNA synthetase genes and some amino acid biosynthetic genes usually in Gram-positive bacteria. The record is from RNAcentral. Lineage: Bacteria; Bacillati; Bacillota; Bacilli; Caryophanales; Bacillaceae.